Molecule: long non-coding RNA, 409 nt
Filed under: Homo sapiens (human)
Lineage: Eukaryota; Metazoa; Chordata; Mammalia; Primates; Hominidae
Description: HSALNT0344005
Source: RNAcentral
AGUGGCUCACGCCUGUAAUCCCAGCACUUUGGGAGGCCGAGGAGAGUGGAUCAUUUGAGGUCAGGAGUUCGAGAUCAGCCUGGAAAACACAGUGAAACCCCGUCUCUACUAAAAAUACAAAAAUUAGACGGGCAUGGUGACAUGUGCCUGUAGUCCCAGCUAUUUGAGAGACUGAGGCAGGAGAAUGGCUUGAACCUAGGAGGAGGUUGCAGUGAGCCGAGAUCAGGCCACUGCACUCCAGCCUGGGCAACAGGGCAAGACUCCAUCUCAAAAAAAAAAAAAAGAAAGAAAAGAAAGAAAGAAAGUGACAUUUCCUAAGCAUUCAAGUUAAUCAUAAUCUUGAACAUACAUUUUCUUCUGUCAGUUGAAACCUUCCAAUUAUUAUUAAAACUAAUGGCAAAAACCACAA